CCUGAUGGCUCAGUUGGUAAAGAAUCUGCCUGCAGUGCAGGAGACCCCGGUUCAAGUCCUGGGUCAGGA
Molecule: transfer RNA, 69 nt
Filed under: Ovis aries (sheep)
Lineage: Eukaryota; Metazoa; Chordata; Mammalia; Artiodactyla; Bovidae
Rfam family: tRNA
About the family: Transfer RNA (tRNA) molecules are approximately 80 nucleotides in length. Their secondary structure includes four short double-helical elements and three loops (D, anti-codon, and T loops). Further hydrogen bonds mediate the characteristic L-shaped molecular structure. tRNAs have two regions of fundamental functional importance: the anti-codon, which is responsible for specific mRNA codon recognition, and the 3' end, to which the tRNAs corresponding amino acid is attached (by aminoacyl-tRNA synthetases). tRNAs cope with the degeneracy of the genetic code in two manners: having more than one tRNA (with a specific anti-codon) for a particular amino acid; and 'wobble' base-pairing, i.e. permitting non-standard base-pairing at the 3rd anti-codon position.
Source: Rfam by way of RNAcentral